Molecule: long non-coding RNA, 3785 nt
Filed under: Citrus sinensis (sweet orange)
Lineage: Eukaryota; Viridiplantae; Streptophyta; Magnoliopsida; Sapindales; Rutaceae
Description: long non-coding RNA (CSIN_LNC001200)
Source: RNAcentral
GUUUGGUGCCAUUAUUAGAGAUAAUGGUAGCUUUAUUUGGUGGGAUGAAUCAUCAUGAACUAGCAUUCAUGUUUCUUCAUUAUCUCUCUCAUUUCUAAACGAAAUUUCGAGAUUCCAAAUCCUCUGAACUCCUAGAACAUUUCUAAGUGUGGACUAAUUAGAGGCAUCACAAUUGGGGUGCUUUAAGGAUCUCAGAUCGUGGCAAAACAGAAGCUGUUCGUGCAGAGCUCUAUUUUCUGGACAGUGUUCGUAGCUUGCUGUUUUCAGUCGUUUUCUCCUACCUCACGAAGUCGUUUUCGAAACUGCAAGUGAGGUAAUUAAACUUCAAUCUUUCUUCUUGAUUUUCGUUUUUGAAUGAAGCCGAUCCGAGGUUUCUAGAGCUUCCGCCGUCCGUUUUAAUUUUACUGCACAAAAGUUGCGAUUUUAGGAACCUCAUGGACAAAUGUUGUCCUUCAUCUCAUUCACCCACAAACACUCACACUCCGAAAAAAUAGGUUUUUUUCAAACUUAAACCUUGAUUUACAGAGGGCUGGCCAGCUCUCUUUACCACAAAAAGCUUGAGUUUGUUAACUUGAGCGUCAGAGUGUGAACACCAGGGUACCCUGGCUUCACCUCUAAACUUUAUUUUACUAUUUUGCAGGCGUGAAGCUCAUUUUGAAGGACAUCUCUCUUGGUUCUGACCUUUCACCAUUGUUACCAUUCCCUCUCCCCUUUUCGCCUUCCCCGAACUUCAGAUACACCGCACCGCACACAACAAACCAGUGAGGUAUCUCGUCUCCCCCAAAAAUAAAAAUUCAUUGUUUUAGAUAGGUUUACCUUCUUCUACCCCCAAAAUCUAACGAAAACAAGAUGAAUAAGAAAGGAGUGUAUUAUGAAAUUUCUAAAAUGUAUUAUAUGUGAAUGGUCAUUACAAGAAAAAUGAUAUUUACCACGAAAUUCAGUUAAACUGAAUAUACCGAGUUUUAUUUUUUCUAGGCGAUGACACAUCUACUAAUGUAAGCAAUGGGUCAUCGCCGAAAGAGAGCUGGUGGGCCAUCGGCCCUUCAAUUUUGGUUGGAUUUUAAUGGAAAAUAUUAAUUCCGGUAGUUUUAAGAGAUAGAAUUUCAAGCGAAAUAUCGAUGUUGUUAUUGCAACAAACUCUAGCGCAAAAUAAAUUAUCUGUCUAAGGAUCGUGCUAAUAUAAAUUGAAGACAUGAAAAUACACCGAAAACAUGCCAUGUAAUGUCAAGACUAUGAACAUUCAACAAGCUACAUAUCCUCCUAUUCUCAGACUGGAAUAAGACUUUCUUUUGAAAAAUGAACUGAAAACCAUAAACCAGUAAUUCCAAGAUUCCUUACUUGUUCGUAUUUGGAAUCAUGUAGGACCAAUCGACGAUCCCCAAUUGAUGGAUAUAAUACAUCAUUUCUCCAAAAUCCAAUUGGUUUAUACCCUUCCUAAAAAGGGUCCAAAAGUCAUGUGUUUGGUCCAAAAACCCCUUUCAUGAUCCAUGUGCCAAAAGAGUGUCCCGACUCUUCUACGUGUAGUAGAGAGAGAGGCAAUCAUCGUGUAUUCCAAUCGUUCAAUUGGUCUCUUCUUCUGUUGUAAUUUGAGGAACUGGAGGUCCUUUCAUUUCAUGAAAAUAAUCACAAAAUCGUAAGGAUUUUUUUCCCAAUGCCACCCAAUAACAAAAUCCCUUCUGGUAGACAUUGUUCAUAUCUUCGCCCCCUAAAUAACAUUCCAAUGGGAAUAACCUUUCCUCCACAUCUCUCCAAGACUUAGUGCUAAAGUUGUAAACCUCAAUAAUAGGGAAGCCAUCAUUGAUCGAUAGCAUUCCUCUCUCGUCCUGCAAGGUUUGUGUCAUGACCAACUUGAAAUCAUUCGUCGUGGGAUCUAAUCCAUCUGCAAAAUUACUAACGAAAAUUCUUGUAUUGCAGGAAAGACUACCACUAAUGCCAUCUCUAGGUUAGGCGGCUUUGGAAGAAUUCUGUACUCAUUCAAGGAAACAUUCCAUAAAUUAAUUGGGUUAAGGUUCCAUUGUUUGGAAAGGCAAAAUAUGUCCUCACAAAGGCCAAAUGGAAUAUGAUCCCUCAUUUCUGCUUCAAGAUAUUGGGAACGCAAUUAUGUCAAUGUCUAAUCAGGCGCUACAACUAAAUCGUCAACAUAAUAUCCAAUGUAGAUCAUGAGACGCUUAUGGUCGUCUCUAUUGAGAUGCUUACAAAUGAAAUUAGGGUCUUUCACUAAACUAAACCAAGAUUUUGAAACACACAUAAAUCGCAUUAGUGAUUUAACGGGCAACCUUGAGAGAGUCUCAACCAGCAGAUCCUCAGUCAAUUCUCCAUAAUUAUAGCCUGUCAUCACCAUUAAAUCUCUCUCCACUUUUUUUUCCUUAACCCAAAUCAAUGCCUUAUCCUGCCAAAAUUAUAAAUAAAUUGGAUCGACUAUUUUUAAGAAUUAACAGGGCUAGAUUUUAGUUGCAGGUAUUUCAUGGGUGGGCAAUAACUUCGCAGUUAAUAACAAUUUGACUUUUCGAAAAUAUUAAUUACUUGGAAAAUUUAAGGCCACCUAAAAUACUUUCAGCACCCACUUUUUCAAAAAUAAUUUUUUUUUCAUCAAAAUGCACAUCUUAAUAUACUAAAAAUUAAAUUAAGCACAUGAUAAUAUUAUUAAAUAUAAUAUCUAGUAUCCAUCUCCUGUCACUACAGACAAGAGCCUGCCGACAUGUUCAUCCUUGCCUAACCCUAUAUAAUUUUUCGUAACAUUAAUGAAAUUUAAUUCACCAUAAAGAUUAUUAUUCCACACACACAAAUUAAUGAAAGAAAUAAUUAACAUAUACCUGUUUAAGAAAAUCGGAAUAAUUUGAUGGAAUAUAUAUAUGUUGAGCUAAAAUUUGCAUUAACGUAUAUAUAGAAUGCGAACUUGCAGCUAUGGAAUUCAUGAUACCCAGAAACGGUAACUAACUAAUUAAGCUAUAUUUUGCUUAGAAUUAAUUAGUUCGGGGAGGAACGUCAAACAUGAUAUCAAAAUAGCAGCGAUCUUUUUGUUUAGCGCAUUGAAUGAAACUUUGUGCUUGGUCAUCAACACAUAUAAUCACCUCCUUUAAAUGAGAAAUACCGUCAUCUCCUUUAACGCAUUUAAGUAGUGGAUCGUGACCGGUUUUGUUCUUUAUAGCCGCCUUGUAAUCUCUUUUAUUGUAACUGCCACCGUCUGGCAAUAUAGGAACUGCUCCGUGAUUUUGAAGAGUAUUCCGUAGGUCUGUAUCCUUUGCUAGUUGCAAAGCCAUUUGGAAAUAAUCGCGUGGCUGGAUGAAUUCUUUAGCAGCACUACCAUGUUUUUUCCACUGAUAGAUCCAAAAAUUUUCCGCUCUACUUAAAUUGUUUUCGUUGAGAGGUAGCCAAUAGCGCAUCAAAUCUUUCCGAAGGGGUUUAAUCUUCAUAAGUAGUAAUAAUUAAUUAAUAGAUAAUAUAUACAAUACUCAUGUGCAAACGUCUUCAUUUUUUUUUAAUGCGGACACGGUUUUAAACCGUGUGGUUUUAUGCAUUAAAAACUAACUCUUUUAAAUCUCAUGGCUUAAAAGCGUAUCCGCAUGUCCGCAUGAAAAAAAUAAGAACACCCACAUUAGAGAAAAAUUCUCUCUCUCUCUAUAUAUAUAGACACACACAUAUAAAUACAAGUGGUGGGAUCGGAUCAUGAUGGAAAUUAAUAAAAAAAAUGAGAUGCAAACAACAGGCAGGGUGGGGAAGUAUGUACCGAUGGACGAAUGCUGGGGUCUCCCUUGCCGGCCGUACCUGGUAAUGUUUUGUCAACG